RNAcentral lists this ribosomal RNA (484 nucleotides) under uncultured bacterium. RNAcentral's name for it is "partial 16S ribosomal RNA". It matches the Rfam family "Bacterial small subunit ribosomal RNA", at positions 30 to 507 of the family's 1533-position model. The record is from RNAcentral.
AUUGAACGCUGGCGGCAGGCCUAACACAUGCAAGUCGAGCGGAUGAAGGGAGCUUGCUCCUGGAUUCAGCGGCGGACGGGUGAGUAAUGCCUAGGAAUCUGCCUGGUAGUGGGGGAUAACGUCCGGAAACGGGCGCUAAUACCGCAUACGUCCUGAGGGAGAAAGUGGGGGAUCUUCGGACCUCACGCUAUCAGAUGAGCCUAGGUCGGAUUAGCUAGUUGGUGGGGUAAAGGCCUACCAAGGCGACGAUCCGUAACUGGUCUGAGAGGAUGAUCAGUCACACUGGAGCUGAGACACGGUCCAGACUCCUACGGGAGGCAGCAGUGGGGAAUAUUGGACAAUGGGCGGAAGCCUGAUCCAGCCAUGCCGCGUGUGUGAAGAAGGUCUUCGGAUUGUAAAGCACUUUAAGUUGGGGGGAAGGGCAGUAAGUUAAUACCUUGCUGUUUUGACGGUACCAACAGAAUAAGCACCGGCUAACUUCGUG